GACGAACGCUGGCGGCGUGCCUAAUACAUGCAAGUCGAACGGUUUAGUUCCAAGAGGCUUGCCUUUUGGAACUAGACAGUGGCGGGCGGGUGAGUAACACGUAGGCAACCUACCUGUCAAACCGGGAUAACCUCGGGCAACCGAAGCUAAACCCGGAUACGCUCCUUUUUCGCAUGAAGAGGGAGUGACAAGGUGCGACCGGAUGACAGAUGGGCCUGCGGCGCAUUAGCUAGUAGGUAGGGUAACGGCCUACCCAGGCCAUGAUGCGUAGCCGACCUGAGAGGGCGCACGGCCACACUGGGACUGAGAUACGGCCCAGACUCGUACGGGAGGCAGCAGUAGGGAAUCUUCGGCGCUGGGCGAAAGCCUGACCGAGCAACGCCGCGUGAGUGAGGAAGGCCGUCGGGUUGUAAAACUCUGGUGUUUGGGAAGAAGGGAAAGGGUAGGACGCUUAGGUGACGGUACCAAACGAGAAAGCCCCGGCUAACUACGUG
RNAcentral lists this ribosomal RNA (494 nucleotides) under uncultured bacterium. Its description in RNAcentral is "partial 16S ribosomal RNA". It matches the Rfam family "Bacterial small subunit ribosomal RNA", at positions 28 to 507 of the family's 1533-position model. The record is from RNAcentral.